RNAcentral lists this ribosomal RNA (75 nucleotides) under Cladosporium cladosporioides. RNAcentral's name for it is "partial 28S ribosomal RNA". The record is from RNAcentral. Lineage: Eukaryota; Fungi; Ascomycota; Dothideomycetes; Cladosporiales; Cladosporiaceae.
CAAACCCAUUUCUAAGGUUGACCUCGGAUCAGGUAGGGAUACCCGCUGAACUUAAGCAUAUCAAUAAGCGAGAGG